RNAcentral lists this long non-coding RNA (2618 nucleotides) under Homo sapiens (human). Its description in RNAcentral is "HSALNT0127023". The record is from RNAcentral. Lineage: Eukaryota; Metazoa; Chordata; Mammalia; Primates; Hominidae.
CCUUAAUGUGCUUUCCAUAAUCUUGUACUAUACUUAUUGGUGACUAAGUUCUUUCUCUUGCUGUCAACUUACAUAAAGUAUUUAAACUAUACUGUCAAAAGCAGAAAUCUAUUGGUUCAAAAGCAAAAAAAAUUUUUCCAAAAUGUAAAUCUAAUAUGCAAUGACCUGAACUUUAGAAAACUGGCUUGAUUGAAUUAGGAUUAAUUUCUCCCUUUCAGAUGUUAAUAUAUUGAUUUCAGUUCUGCUAAGUGUAUUGUCUUCAGUCAUAUUUGGGAAGAAGUUAUUAGUAUAUACAUGAAUAUCCCCAAGUGUCUGUCCUUCUGUCAUUUCUUUACUCUGCAUUUUGAGACAUUCUUAAAAAAUGAAAUUUGGCAUUGUAUAUAGGUCUCUGUUCACAGUCAAGGAGAAAAGUCCCCAAAUGCACAAUUUACAAUUUUCUGUUUUUGUUUCUAACUCCAGUUUCAUCUUUUUUAGGUCCAUAAGCAAGACGCCUGUAAGUAAAAGGGUGAUGGUAUAAUCAACAGCCAUGUGAUAAGUCUUGGCCAAGCUUUUUUGGGUCAUACUUCCUAGAAACUUAGAAAGUGAGCUCUAAUAAUUAGGUAACACAUUUCUUCUUCUUCUUCUUCUUCUUCUUUUUUUUUUCAUUGGAUACAAAGUGUGAUAUAUUUUAUUUAAAAAUCAAUAUUUACAAUAUGCUAAUAAGUACAUAUUUUGAAGUUAUUCAAAUUUAUGAUGAAAAAUCUUAGGUGUCUGCUUGAAAAUGUGCAAGGGGAUACAUAGUUUUUCAAAGUUCCUUUAGGAAGUACGAGAGGAAUUAGUUCAAAGACCACUUAUUUAGCUGAUCAAAUCUUUACAGUUUUAACAGUUGAUGGUGACAAACUUCAUGGAGAAAAGUAGAUAAAAAGAAGGACAUACAUGGGUGUGUUGUUGAUAUGGGCUCUUGUGACAGAAAAGUAGGCUUGGUGAAAAAAACAAACAAAAUAACACAUAAUUCCCAAGUUCUUAAAUUUUUUUGGCCAGCACCUUUGAGACAUAGCAUAUCCAUUGUUUAUGAACUUUGCAAAGCAGAUUUAUGAGGUUGGUUUUUCUUUUGGAUGGGCUUAAUUAUGUUGGAGACCAAUAAUCCACUGUUUUAGCCAUAUUACCAUGUGCCUGGCACUGUGCUAAUUACUAGAGAUGCAGAGAUGAACAAGGAGAGAGGAUCCCUCAAGGAACUGACAGGAUAGAAGAAAAAGGGAAGUUAAACUAGUCUAAGUUGGAAAUCAAUGAUGAUGUGCUUUAAGUAUUUUUCAUUUGUAUUCCAUAUUUGCACAAAAAACUUGAGAUGGAUAAAGAUCUCCCUCAUCAUCCAACCUGUUGAGGAAUGGAACAGGACGGAAUAAAAUGGUGGAAGGAAGGUGAAUUUGCUCUCUCUUUUUGAGCUGGGACAUCUGUCUUUUCCUGCUCUCUGACAAUGGUGCUCUUAGUUCUUGGGCCUUUGCACUUGGGCUGGUUUGUACCACCAGCUAAGCUUUCCUAGGUCUCCAGCUCACAGACAGCAGAUUGAGGGACUUCUCAGCCUCCAUAAUCAUGGGAGCCAAUUCCAUAUUUCUCUAUCUCUAUACCUCCUAUGGGUUCUGUUUCUCUGGAGAACCCUGACUAAUACAAAUGGUUUAUAGUACAAGAUUCUCUGAAUCCUUGGGGUUUGGAUCUUGAUGUUUAAAGUUAAUGCUCUAAAAUUUAAAAGAAAAAAAAAAGAAAAUCCCUUUUUUCUUCUCUCAAACUCUUGCUACUUACAAUAGAGAGCCAUACCCCCAACCCUAAAUGUGCCCAAUUUCAUCUGAUCUAGGAAGCUAAGCCCAACUAGCGUUGGGCCUAGUUAGUAUUUAGAUGGGAGAAAACCAGGCCCCUGUAGGCCAUGGUUUCUGGUGUCCAUUUACCAAACUCUCCUCUGUAGUUCAUGAUCAAUGGCUUUUGUUCUGCCUGGAUGGUCCUACCCUGUUGUACCCAGAAAGUGUCUGCUGACUGCUGAAUGGUGGGUGAAAAGAAAGGGCAAUAGGAAUUAGAAAGCAUGUGGUUUAAUAAUUUUUAAAAAUUCCCUACUUUAAUUAGGAAGUGAUGCAUAUUUCUGGAAUUUUCACCAAGAGAUCAUGGUGUUUCUAGGAAGCUGGCUAACUACGCCUGAUAUAUUUAAAAAACAAAAAAACCCCAAACCCAAAAAACUACAACCUACUCAAUUACAUUGCAACUUGCCGGGAAUUAAGUAAUGGUGUUCUCAGAACUGUAGAGUACAAUGUAAUCAGUGUUUAUCUGAUUCUGUGCUGAAGAGUCUGGGCUUAACUUCCUGAGGACCAGCAGGCUACCUAGCUGGUAAUGUCUCUAGAAUGGAGAGCAGCUCAUCCAAGAGCCCAGCUUUUGAGGGCAUAGAGUUGAUGAAUUUCAUGGGAAAGGCAGGACCCUUCACUCCAACUUCUAGCUGUUUGAUAGCAAUUCUCAAGCUUUAGUAUGAAUACAAGUCAUUUAGGAAGAUUGUUUAAUAAUAUAGAUUCCUUGAACCCCCAUACAGAUCAUCUGAUUCAUAGGUCUGGGUUGGGGCCUAGGAAUUUACAUUUUUGCAUACUUCUUCUGGACCAUGUUUU